GAUGAACGCUAGCUACAGGCUUAACACAUGCAAGUCGAGGGGAAACGACAUCGAAAGCUUGCUUUUGAUGGGCGUCGACCGGCGCACGGGUGAGUAACGCGUAUCCAACCUGCCCAUCACUUGGGAAUAACCUUGCGAAAGUAAGACUAAUACCCAAUGUUAUCCCACGAAUGCAUCGGAAUGGGAUUAAAGAUUUAUCGGUGAUGGAUGGGGAUGCGUCUGAUUAGCUUGUUGGCGGGGUAACGGCCCACCAAGGCAACGAUCAGUAGGGGUUCUGAGAGGAAGGUACCCCACAUCGGAGCCGAGACACGGACCAAAAUCCUACGGAGGGCAGCAGUGAGGAAUAUUGGUCGAUGGGCGAGGGCCUGAACCAGCCAAGUAGCGUGCAGGAAGACGGCCCUAUGGGUUGUAAACUGCUUUUAUAAGGGAAUAAAGUGGGUCACGUGUGACUUUUUGCAUGUACCUUAUGAAUAAGGACCGGCUAAUUCCGUG
RNAcentral lists this ribosomal RNA (492 nucleotides) under uncultured bacterium. Its description in RNAcentral is "partial 16S ribosomal RNA". It matches the Rfam family "Bacterial small subunit ribosomal RNA", at positions 28 to 507 of the family's 1533-position model. The record is from RNAcentral.